RNAcentral lists this ribosomal RNA (253 nucleotides) under uncultured bacterium. Its description in RNAcentral is "partial 16S ribosomal RNA". It matches the Rfam family "Bacterial small subunit ribosomal RNA", at positions 524 to 776 of the family's 1533-position model. The record is from RNAcentral.
UACGAAGGGUGCAAACGUUGCUCGGAAUUAUUGGGCGUAAAGCGCACGUAGGCGGCUUAGCAAGUCGGAUGUGAAAUCCCUCGGCUCAACCAAGGAAGUGCAUCCGAAACUGCUGAGCUUGAGUACUUAAGAGGAUCGCGGAAUUCCCGGUGUAGAGGUGAAAUUCGUAGAUAUUGGGAAGAACACCAGUGGCGAAGGCGGCUAACUGGUCCGAUACUGACGCUGAGGUGCGAAAGCGUGGGGAGCAAACAGG